This 76-nucleotide transfer RNA is filed under the name Desulfurellales bacterium. Its description in RNAcentral is "tRNA-Pro". It matches the Rfam family "tRNA". Rfam says of the family: Transfer RNA (tRNA) molecules are approximately 80 nucleotides in length. Their secondary structure includes four short double-helical elements and three loops (D, anti-codon, and T loops). Lineage: Bacteria; Pseudomonadati; Campylobacterota; Desulfurellia; Desulfurellales. The record is from RNAcentral.
CUAGGUGUAGCUUAGUUGGUAAAGCGCCGGUCUUGGGCACCGGAGAUCGGAGGUUCGAGACCUUCCACCUAGACCA